UAUGUAUAGUUUCGUUUUCCGAGUGUGCCUAAGUGCGCCUGCGUUGAUUUUUCUGUCGAAACAUCAUUGAUUCAUGGUGUCCUCCACUUCUCACCCCUCUCUCUUGCCCGCUCGCUCUCGACGUGCAUUUCUUCUCUUGUAGCUCCCUCACUCGAGAGAGGGAACCCUCGAACGCGCACGCCGGUGCCCAUAGAGACAACAAAAACAAAGGGAGCCGAAACAGAUCGGACAUACGACACCCCACGGGUAGCAUCGCCUCGCUGUGAAGGGCGGCAACGGAGAUCGCCCACAGAAACAAGCAACGACACCACUCGCAGGAGGUGGUGGCGUGACGGUCGCCACCUAGCGGCUUUGCGGCGCAGUUCGCUCUUUUCCUUUUGCCCACUCUCGUCUUUCUUUUCUGUGUGUUCCCAACGAGCUGUGCGACCUCGCGGGACGACUUAAGCGGGUGUGUCAUCUCUUUUACCCCACCUUUCGCGGCCUCCUCCCUUCACCCGUCUUUCUGCGCCGCUCACGGCCACUUGAGCACGACUCCGCACUACAGCACCUGCUCUCUCGCUCCUCUGUCCUCACUACCUUUGUUUUGUGAACCUUUCCCUCAGGCACACCUCACCCUCUGAGGACCACUGCGCAGAGCAGACACCCCCCCCUCCUCCAUAUUCACAGGCUCGCGUGCGUGUGCGUGUGUGUGUAGCUCAUUCUGCGAGAUAGGGUCUAGGCGUCCUCCCCAUCCCUUUCUUCUUUUCGCUUCGUUUUUUUUUUUUUCGUUUGCGUGCGUGCGUGCAGUUUGUGAGGACUCAAGCGACUUUGUGUGAGAGCGGUGCCCCCCCCCCCACUCCGCUGCGUCUCCUGCGAGCACUCUCCUCUCCACCACCCACACCCCCAUUCAUCAUUGUCGGCUGCGUACAGUGCGCUUGCUUGUGCGUUUCUGUGUUUGCCAGGUGUUGACCAUCACGUGCUCUUUGAUUUAUUGUUGGUCGACUUCUCCCGCUCCGCUCCCCCAUUUUGCUUUCGAAUUGCCCCCGUGAUUGGUGGAUUAUCGCCGGUCUUGGGGUGCCCUUCAUUCCUUUCCUCUGCCUGCUGCUCUCCCCAUCUUCUUCGCUGUGUCUACUUCUCGGUCUUCACCUUCCGCUGCUGGUUGCUCCCGAAACGCCGCCUUUUCGGCUGUGUCGGCGUCUCGUGCGACGUGACGUGCCCAUCCCAGCUUGUCACGCUUCGCUCCCUUGUAAUCUGUGAUUGCCCACACACACAUAAUACGCGUUUUCGGCUCUCUUCGGGCGAUUUUCUCGUUUCCGCCUCAUAUAGGCAGAGAAGCGUGCGUGUGAGUCAGUGCGCCAAAGCGAGAUCGCAUUCGGGUGGUGUUGUAGAUCGCGCAGCGAGAAGCAGAGAGCUGAGACGGCACCGCUGGGGCGGAUACCCGCGGCAGACGUGCUCUUCUCUCCCCGCGGCAGCUGAUCACAAGCGGAGAGAAGCAAAACACAAAACGAGCGAGGCCCCAUCGCUGGACCGUUCGCUCGCACGCACUGCCGACCGCGCACACGCACACACACACACGCACACACACACACGCACACACACACACACACACACGCACGCACGCACUUAAACACAGAGAGAGAAGCACACGCGCCCUCUAUACACUUUUUUUUUCGCUUCGUUUUUUUUUUCUGCUGUGUCUCCCUGCGCCACUUUGUUCUGUUCCGCUGCUUCGAUUGCCGACCCCCCUCCCCAGGAGACACACACAUCGUACAUUCGUUUUCGUUUUUCUUUUUUUUCUUUGCUCCUUCGUUUACUUCAUCUUCUCGGAUUUCUGUUAUACAACGCGCUCACCCACUUCUUUCGUCCCUUUCCUCUGUCUCACUUCCGUGACGUCGCCCACGCCGUGUGAUGGCGGCAUCGUCUAUCCACGAAACGCCGGACAGCGGCGAGGUGUUUGCAGACCACGAGUUUAACAAGAACAACGCCGGCAUCACCGAUGAUUGGAUUUCGAUCAGGCAGCUGUACCCAGCUGGUGUGAACCAGCCGCUGCUGCCCGAAGUAUUCUCGCGCGAGCAGUUCGGCCAGGGCAACCACUAUGAAUGCUUCAUGCUCUCGGCACUUGCAACGCUGAUCCGCUUCCCGGAUGUGAUCCGCAACUGCUUUGUGACGAAGAAGGUGCGCCAGGAUGGCCGCUACACGUUCCAGUUCUUCCGCGGGCAGGAGUGGGUAAAGGUCGAGAUCGACGACCGCAUCGCCAUGGAAGAAGGCGAGGUGCUCUAUGCUCGCUCCCCGACUGAGCACUGGUGGCCGCUGCUGCUGGAGAAGGCGUACGCGAAGUUCUACACCGCCUACGACCACCUCGAGGGCUGCACCCUUUUAGAGACAUUCCACGACCUGACAGGCAACCCGGUGCUGAACAUCCCCAUGGACGCCAAGCUGGCCAAGGCGGCAAACUGCAAUGUGCUUGAAGGACGCUAUUGGCUCGACUUGGCACAGCGCAUCCAGUCUGGCGAGUUUGUCGCGUCAGCCCUCACAAAGGAUGUGGAGGUGGAGACAAUGGGUCUGCAGCGCGAGCAACAGUACGGCAUCCUCGACAUCUUCUCCCUCCACGGCACAUCCUCGCUGGAUGACAUUCUCGUGCAUAUGCACAAUCCUUUCGAAGAUGACGAGUUUCUCUACAGCGGCCCCCUCAACCCGAACGACUCGGCGUGGUCGGAGAAGCAGCGGGUCAAGUACGACGUCGGCAACCCGCGCUCCAUUUUCCUGCCACUGAACGUUUUUCUUCGCAUCGUCAAUUCGAUGCAGCUGUGCUACAUCAGCACCGUCGCCUCGGAUGCGACGUACUUUGAGGACGAGUGGAAGGGUGAGUCGGCCGGCGGCAACCCGACGUACGUCACGUGGCGCAAGAACCCGCUCUACUACAUCAGUAAUCACGGCACAGAGGCGGUGACUCUCUCCUUUGUGGUCAAGCAGGAGGACCAGCGGCACCGGAAGGGCCCGGAGGAGACAGCCACGUACAAGCAGUGUGGCAUGAUACUUUCCCAGUACUCCUACCUCUACCCGAUCCCGACCUUCUGGGUCACUGGUAACAACCACAAGCCCAUUCACAAGAGCCUCUUCCUCAACUCGCGCGAGGUGGCGAGCAGCGUCAUCGUCCCGCCGCAAUCACUCUGCUAUCUUGUGCCUUCCUGCAUGCAUCAAGGCGAAGAGGCCAAGUUCCUGCUGUCCGCCCACCGCAUGGUCCAUGAAGACUACAGCAACAUCACCAUAAAGAAGCUCACGGUCCCCGAGAUGGACUGGGAGAACCCUGCCGCAGGAACGGUGCAGCUUCAGAUGCGCACUAAGGACCGUCUCGACUUCUACGUUGAUGAACCCACCGACGUUCAUAUACUUCUCCACCAAACAAAGCCCUACGUCAGCCCCAAGACAGGCGGCGAUGCCAUGGCGCAGGACUACAUGGGCAUGUACCUCUACGACGACACGGACCGCAAGAUAGCCGGUGUGCACGCUGCCACGAACUUCCGCGAGACGAGCAUCAUCCACCGCCUCCCCCGCAGCGGUCGCUAUGCCAUCUCCAUCACGUGCCCGCGCGGCAAGGGCCACAUAACCGCCAACGUCACCAUUGUGUCUUCCUUUGGCAGCCAUAUUCGCCGCGUCAAUGCACCAGAGGACGCCGCCAUGCUGCCGGAUGAAGCGGAGAGCGUCGCAGAUAGCGAAGGCGUAGACACACGAGUCGCUCGCAUCGACUACAACCCGUUUCAGGAGCAGCCAGUCGAUGUGCGUGAGCACCCAGACAGUAACGUGCCAUUUGAGGAUCGCGGAUUUAUGCUGAGCAACCGCGAUGUGACAUCGGAGCCGUGGUUGCACAUCGGCGACCUUUACCCCGAAGGCAAGACGAGGCCGCUGCUGCCGAACGUGCUGAGCCGCGACCAAUUCGGGCAGGGUGCGAUGCACGAGUGCUGCUGCCUUACUGGGUUCGCCACUCUGAUCGAGAACCACCCCGACGUGAUCCGCAACUGCUUCAUCUCGAAGAACCCGCGCAAGGAUGGCCGCUACACGUUCCAGUUCCACCGCUACGGUCAGUGGAUCAAGGUGGAGAUCGACGACCGCAUUCCGAUGGUGAAGGGCGACACGGUGUUUUGCCGCUCGCCGACGCACCACUGGUGGCCGCUGCUGCUGGAGAAGGCGUACGCGAAGUUCUACACGCUUUAUGAGAACUUGGCGGGUUGCUCGCUCGCUGAAGUGUAUCACGACUUCAGUGGGUGCCCUGUCAUUAACACGCCGCUGGACGAAGUAACAGCAAAGUCGGUCGGGUUCGACAUAGCAUCUCCCGUUUACUGGGUGAGGCUGCGUGACGAGCUGCGCAUGACAGCCGUGGCGGCCCUAUCUGGCGACAACGCAGAGAGUCUGGGCCUGGCACCUCACCAGUUUUACGGAAUCCUCAACAUUCUUGCCACCUCUUCUCCCCCUCGCACCCUCAGCGAGGUCAUUGUGCAGCUGCACAACCCGUACGCGGAGAUUUCCUACACUGGCCCCAUGUCCGACCCAGCAGAUCCGCGGUGGGCGUCGCGAGAGAUGCGCCACUGCAACGCCACGCAGAAUACCAUCUUCGUGCCAGUCAACGUCUUCUUGCGCUCUUUCUUUACCAUCUCGCAGGCUCAUCUUCGCGGGCUCAUGGAACCGUGCUGGAACUUCCACAGCGAAUGGGGUGACGGCACGAACGGUGGCAACCCGUCGCUGCUCACGUGGCGUGAGAACCCGCUCUACAUCGUUCGCAACACAGGCAGCGAGGCAGUGGAGGUGAUGGGCAUGAUACGGCAACCGGACAAGCGGCACCAGCUACACGUGUUGCCCGAGCUGAGCUACGUGCGGUGCGACCUCCUCCUGGCACAGAGCAUAGAGACGGAUUCGAUUCCGACGUACCUCGUCACCCACAACAACCACGACGUGGUGCACAAGCGUGUCUUCCUCAACUAUCGCGAGGUGGCGAGCAAGAUUCGCGUUCCGCCGCAGUCACAGUGCUACCUUGUCCCAACAGCGAUGUACCACGAGAAAAGCAUCUUUCUGCUCUCGUACUGGUACCGGACACCAGCGGACGAGGGUGCGGUAAGCAUUGAACGCCUUCGCGUCAACGUCGCACGUGACUUACCGGCUGUCAAGCACGUCACACUGGUGCCCGAGGGGAAGGAUAGAGUCGACUUCUUCGUCGAUGUACCGACGGACGCACACAUUCUUCUCUCGCAAUGGAACCGCGACGCGCGCGGCGGUAGCAACGUGCGCACCGACAACUACGUUGGCAUGUACCUCUACGAUGACGCGAACCAGAAGAUGGCGCAGGUGUCGGCGGCGUCGAAUUUGAAGGAAAUCGGCCUGGUGGCACACCUGCCUGCUCAAGGCCACUACGUGCUCUCCAUUACGUGCCCGGCGGCGCGAGACGAGGAGGUGAAGUGCCGAGUCGAGAUUGUGUGCGUCGAGAUGGCGCGAGUGCGCAUCACAGAUGUGUACGAGAAUCCGCCGAGCUCUGAAGAGCUCGAGGGGGAGCCGCCGGUCGCACUAGUCGACAGUGAUACGGCGCGGAGUGAUGUUGGCGACGGCACUCAAUCCGUGGAGGCAACCGUGGAGACGCGGCCGCCUGCCAAUACGGAGGCGAAGGAGAGGGAGAAGACGCCCUCGCUCUCGUUUAUGCGUCCGCGGUACCAGGGCAUCUGGACGGAGGACCUCCUGCUCAUGGAGACCCCCGCCUUUGCAAAGAUGGCGGGGGAGAGAGAGCAGCUGAAAAAACACGCUUCGCAGCACGCGGCACGCAUGAACUCUCUCGAGAAUAAGAUGGAGGACAUGGCAACGAGGUUGGCCGAUGACAUGCACGACCAGGAGCGCGCUUUCCUCGGACCCGAGCUGGAAGGGGUACCGCUGGAGCUGCUUCCGUUGAACGAGGACGAGGAAUUCACUGGGCUGGAGCACGAGCUGCGAGUUGCCAUGAGGGAUCUACAGAAAAAUCGCGGCGACGUCGUGGCACUGCGCGAAACGCUCAAGGAGCGUGCGGGAGAGAUGGCGAAGAAGCUCAAGGAAAAUGAGCGCGAUCUCUUCCUCAACCCCAUGCCUUUGGGGAUCUCAUGUGAUGGUUUACCGCUUGACUCCGACCCGGAGUUCCACGCGCUCGAGGUGGCGCGGCUGCGCGAGCGUCAGGAGGAGUCGUGCGACGAGGCGAAGAUUCGCAAGCUGAACGACGCCCUCAACGAGCGUGCCGAGGGCUUGGCAAGGGCGAAGCUCGCGGCGGACCGGCAGUAUUUGAAGCCAGAGCAUCUGCGCGUGGCGGUAGAUGAGCUGCCGCUGAACGAUGAUCGCAACUUUAUUCUCAAGGAGGCACUACGACACGAAAAGCUGAAGAACUCGCGCGAGAGCGCCGCCGCGAUCGCUGCGUUGGGGAACGAGCUGAAUAACAUGGCAAAAGGGAUGGCGGCAGAGAUGCUAGCCAAGCAGCGCCCCAGCUACCUCGCACGGGAGCACCACGGACGGCGCAUGGAGGAUUUGCUUCUCAACGACAACGACGACUUCCUCAAGAAAGAGCGAAGGCGACGUGACUUGCUGAAGCAACCGAGCUCGGACAUGGACGUGGUGGCGGAGAUUGAAAAGGAGCUGAACGGAAUGGCGGAUGAGAUGGCCAGAGCGAUGAACGCAGCAGAGCGCCCACAAUACAUGAAAGCUAGCUACUAUGACAAGACCCUGAGUGAGCUGCCUCUGGAUACCGAUCCCAUCAUCGCCAGGCUAGAAGCUCAACGCGCACGACUCAAGCGCGACCCUGUGCGAAACGCAGAGGCCGUUCACGCGACUGAGGCAGCGAUUAUUAGCCGCGCUGAGGCGCUGGCAAAGGCAAUGAUCAAAGACGAGCGCGCGAGACUCUACGGCAAGCCAAGUGGAGUGCCCGUCAACUUGCUUGACCUCGAUGAGGACCAAGUCAUCCGACGUCUCGAGGAGGAGCGCAUGGAGCUCUUAAAGAUGCCUAACACGGACCCCCACGCUAUCGCCAGCAACGAGGAGAAGUUGAAGGCCCGCGCGGCAAAGAUUGCAGAGGACUUCCGUGAUAACAUGCGAGCCCAAAUCACGGGUGAGGGGCGCCGAAGCCCCUCCGUUAUGUCAAUUGGCAGUGACGCACCGUGCCAGGACCUGGAGGAGAAGCUCUACGCCCUCAUGUCCGAAGAUCCCAUCGCCAACGAGGACCAGAUCAACGAUAUCAAGGAUGCCAUUCGCAAGCGAAACGCUGAGCUAAAGCGGCAGGCCGUGCAAGCGCUACGUGCCUUCCUUGACGACAAGCCCUUCGGCAUUCUGUUGACUGAGGUGGGUCUUGACGACGAUCGUGAAUACAUGGAGAGAGAAGAGAAGCUCAAGAAGGGACAGGCUAGCAAUCUGCCCGCAGCACAGAUCACGUUCAUUCAGGAAGGCAUGCAACAUCGCGUGAACGAACUGGCAGCGGAGGAGCUGGCACGACGCUACCCAUUCAUCCACACACGCCCGGCCAGCAUCCCUCUCCCCGCGCUUCCGUCCGUAGGCAGAGACCAAGCUUUCUGGAAAGCCAUCGACAACGUCGACAAGGCAAAGAAUCACCACAACACGGCCACGUCUCAGCUACGCGCGUACGAAAAAUCUGUGAACGAACGACUCCAUCAAAUCGCAGAGGCCGCCAAAUGGAAAGAGCGUGACGGCUUUCUCGACUCUAGACCAGCACAUGUGCCAGUGAAAGCCAUUCCCCUCGACAAUGAUACAGACUUCGUCGACCUAGAAAGUAAGCGCCGACUAAGCCUCCAAUCAGGAGCUGAUCCGCAAUCCGACGACAUCCGGACACUCGAAAAAGCUCUAAGAACUCGCGCGCACGACCUUGCGUGCGACAAGAAGUGGGCGGACCGCGACAGGGUGCUGGACCCGAAGCCGGAGGGCGUGCCGCUGCGCUGCGUCCCGCUGGACGAGGACGCGGAGUUCGUGGCGCUGGAGGACGAGUGGCGCGGCCUGCUGCAGGACCCACAGCGCAACAGCAUGCCGCUGAAGGACCUGGAGAGAAGGAUGAACGACCGCGCGCACGACCUUGCGUGCGACAAGAAGUGGGCGGACCGCGACAGGGUGCUGGACCCGAAGCCGGAGGGCGUGCCGCUGCGCUGCGUCCCGCUGGACGAGGACGCGGAGUUCGUGGCGCUGGAGGACGAGUGGCGCGGCCUGCUGCAGGACCCACAGCGCAACAGCAUGCCGCUGAAGGACCUGGAGAGGAGGAUGAACGACCGCGCGCACGACCUUGCGUGCGACAAGAAGUGGGCGGGCCGCGACAGGGUGCUGGACCCGAAGCCGGAGGGCGUGCCGCUGCGCUGCGUCCCGCUGGACGAGGACGCGGAGUUCGUGGCGCUGGAGGACGAGUGGCGCGGCCUGCUGCAGGACCCACAGCGCAACAGCAUGCCGCUGAAGGACCUGGAGAGGAGGAUGAACGACCGCGCGCACGACGUUGCGUGCGACAAGAAGUGGGCGGGCCGCGACAGGGUGCUGGACCCGAAGCCGGAGGGCGUGCCGCUGCGCUGCGUCCCGCUGGACGAGGACGCGGAGUUCUUGGCGCUGGAGGACGAGUGGCGCGGCCUGCUGCAGGACCCACAGCGCAGCAGCAUGCCGCUGAAGGACCUGGAGAGGAGGAUGAACGACCGCGCGCACGACCUUGCGUGCGACAAGAAGUGGGCGGACCGCGACAGGGUGCUGGACCCGAAGCCGGAGGGCGUGCCGCUGCGCUGCGUCCCGCUGGACGAGGACGCGGAGUUCGUGGCGCUGGAGGACGAGUGGCGCGGCCUGCUGCAGGACCCACAGCGCAGCAGCAUGCCGCUGAAGGACCUGGAGAGGAGGAUGAACGACCGCGCGCACGACCUUGCGUGCGACAAGAAGUGGGCGGACCGCGACAGGGUGCUGGACCCGAAGCCGGAGGGCGUGCCGCUGCGCUGCGUCCCGCUGGACGAGGACGCGGAGUUCUUGGCGCUGGAGGACGAGUGGCGCGGCCUGCUGCAGGACCCACAGCGCAACAGCAUGCCGCUGAAGGACCUGGAGAGGAGGAUGAACGACCGCGCGCACGACCUUGCGUGCGACAAGAAGUGGGCGGACCGCGACAGGGUGCUGGACCCGAAGCCGGAGGGCGUGCCGCUGCGCUGCGUCCCGCUGGACGAGGACGCGGAGUUCGUGGCGCUGGAGGACGAGUGGCGCGGCCUGCUGCAGGACCCACAGCGCAGCAGCAUGCCGCUGAAGGACCUGGAGAGGAGGAUGAACGACCGCGCGCACGACCUUGCGUGCGACAAGAAGUGGGCGGACCGCGACAGGGUGCUGGACCCGAAGCCGGAGGGCGUGCCGCUGCGCUGCGUCCCGCUGGACGAGGACGCGGAGUUCGUGGCGCUGGAGGACGAGUGGCGCGGCCUGCUGCAGGACCCACAGCGCAGCAGCAUGCCGCUGAAGGACCUGGAGAGGAGGAUGAACGACCGCGCGCACGACCUUGCGUGCGACAAGAAGUGGGCGGGUCGCGACAGGGUGCUGGACCCGAAGCCGGAGGGCGUGCCGCUGCGCUGCGUCCCGCUGGACGAGGACGCGGAGUUCGUGGCGCUGGAGGACGAGUGGCGCGGCCUGCUGCAGGACCCACAGCGCAACAGCAUGCCGCUGAAGGACCUGGAGAGGAGGAUGAACGACCGCGCGCACGACGUUGCGUGCGACAAGAAGUGGGCGGGCCGCGACAGGGUGCUGGACCCGAAGCCGGAGGGCGUGCCGCUGCGCUGCGUCCCGCUGGACGAGGACGCGGAGUUCUUGGCGCUGGAGGACGAGUGGCGCGGCCUGCUGCAGGACCCACAGCGCAGCAGCAUGCCGCUGAAGGACCUGGAGAGGAGGAUGAACGACCGCGCGCACGACCUUGCGUGCGACAAGAAGUGGGCGGACCGCGACAGGGUGCUGGACCCGAAGCCGGAGGGCGUGCCGCUGCGCUGCGUCCCGCUGGACGAGGACGCGGAGUUCGUGGCGCUGGAGGACGAGUGGCGCGGCCUGCUGCAGGACCCACAGCGCAGCAGCAUGCCGCUGAAGGACCUGGAGAGGAGGAUGAACGACCGCGCGCACGACCUUGCGUGCGACAAGAAGUGGGCGGACCGCGACAGGGUGCUGGACCCGAAGCCGGAGGGCGUGCCGCUGCGCUGCGUCCCGCUGGACGAGGACGCGGAGUUCUUGGCGCUGGAGGACGAGUGGCGCGGCCUGCUGCAGGACCCACAGCGCAACAGCAUGCCGCUGAAGGACCUGGAGAGGAGGAUGAACGACCGCGCGCACGACCUUGCGUGCGACAAGAAGUGGGCGGACCGCGACAGGGUGCUGGACCCGAAGCCGGAGGGCGUGCCGCUGCGCUGCGUCCCGCUGGACGAGGACGCGGAGUUCGUGGCGCUGGAGGACGAGUGGCGCGGCCUGCUGCAGGACCCACAGCGCAGCAGCAUGCCGCUGAAGGACCUGGAGAGGAGGAUGAACGACCGCGCGCACGACCUUGCGUGCGACAAGAAGUGGGCGGACCGCGACAGGGUGCUGGACCCGAAGCCGGAGGGCGUGCCGCUGCGCUGCGUCCCGCUGGACGAGGACGCGGAGUUCGUGGCGCUGGAGGACGAGUGGCGCGGCCUGCUGCAGGACCCACAGCGCAGCAGCAUGCCGCUGAAGGACCUGGAGAGGAGGAUGAACGACCGCGCGCACGACCUUGCGUGCGACAAGAAGUGGGCGGACCGCGACAGGGUGCUGGACCCGAAGCCGGAGGGCGUGCCGCUGCGCUGCGUCCCGCUGGACGAGGACGCGGAGUUCGUGGCGCUGGAGGACGAGUGGCGCGGCCUGCUGCAGGACCCACAGCGCAACAGCAUGCCGCUGAAGGACCUGGAGAGAAGGAUGAACGACCGCGCGCACGACCUUGCGUGCGACAAGAAGUGGGCGGACCGCGACAGGGUGCUGGACCCGAAGCCGGAGGGCGUGCCGCUGCGCUGCGUCCCGCUGGACGAGGACGCGGAGUUCGUGGCGCUGGAGGACGAGUGGCGCGGCCUGCUGCAGGACCCACAGCGCAGCAGCAUGCCGCUGAAGGACCUGGAGAGGAGGAUGAACGACCGCGCGCACGACCUUGCGUGCGACAAGAAGUGGGCGGGUCGCGACAGGGUGCUGGACCCGAAGCCGGAGGGCGUGCCGCUGCGCUGCGUCCCGCUGGACGAGGACGCGGAGUUCUUGGCGCUGGAGGACGAGUGGCGCGGCCUGCUGCAGGACCCACAGCGCAGCAGCAUGCCGCUGAAGGACCUGGAGAGGAGGAUGAACGACCGCGCGCACGACCUUGCGUGCGACAAGAAGUGGGCGGACCGCGACAGGGUGCUGGACCCGAAGCCGGAGGGCGUGCCGCUGCGCUGCGUCCCGCUGGACGAGGACGCGGAGUUCGUGGCGCUGGAGGACGAGUGGCGCGGCCUGCUGCAGGACCCACAGCGCAACAGCAUGCCGCUGAAGGACCUGGAGAGGAGGAUGAACGACCGCGCGCACGACCUUGCGUGCGACAAGAAGUGGGCGGACCGCGACAGGGUGCUGGACCCGAAGCCGGAGGGCGUGCCGCUGCGCUGCGUCCCGCUGGACGAGGACGCGGAGUUCGUGGCGCUGGAGGACGAGUGGCGCGGCCUGCUGCAGGACCCACAGCGCAACAGCAUGCCGCUGAAGGACCUGGAGAGAAGGAUGAACGACCGCGCGCACGACCUUGCGUGCGACAAGAAGUGGGCGGACCGCGACAGGGUGCUGGACCCGAAGCCGGAGGGCGUGCCGCUGCGCUGCGUCCCGCUGGACGAGGACGCGGAGUUCGUGGCGCUGGAGGACGAGUGGCGCGGCCUGCUGCAGGACCCACAGCGCAACAGCAUGCCGCUGAAGGACCUGGAGAGGAGGAUGAACGACCGCGCGCACGACCUUGCGUGCGACAAGAAGUGGGCGGACCGCGACAGGGUGCUGGACCCGAAGCCGGAGGGCGUGCCGCUGCGCUGCGUCCCGCUGGACGAGGACGCGGAGUUCGUGGCGCUGGAGGACGAGUGGCGCGGCCUGCUGCAGGACCCACAGCGCAACAGCAUGCCGCUGAAGGACCUGGAGAGGAGGAUGAACGACCGCGCGCACGACGUUGCGUGCGACAAGAAGUGGGCGGACCGCGACAGGGUGCUGGACCCGAAGCCGGAGGGCGUGCCGCUGCGCUGCGUCCCGCUGGACGAGGACGCGGAGUUCGUGGCGCUGGAGGACGAGUGGCGCGGCCUGCUGCAGGACCCACAGCGCAACAGCAUGCCGCUGAAGGACCUGGAGAGGAGGAUGAACGACCGCGCGCACGACCUUGCGUGCGACAAGAAGUGGGCGGACCGCGACAGGGUGCUGGACCCGAAGCCGGAGGGCGUGCCGCUGCGCUGCGUCCCGCUGGACGAGGACGCGGAGUUCGUGGCGCUGGAGGACGAGUGGCGCGGCCUGCUGCAGGACCCACAGCGCAACAGCAUGCCGCUGAAGGACCUGGAGAGGAGGAUGAACGACCGCGCGCACGACCUUGCGUGCGACAAGAAGUGGGCGGACCGCGACAGGGUGCUGGACCCGAAGCCGGAGGGCGUGCCGCUGCGCUGCGUCCCGCUGGACGAGGACGCGGAGUUCGUGGCGCUGGAGGACGAGUGGCGCGGCCUGCUGCAGGACCCACAGCGCAACAGCAUGCCGCUGAAGGACCUGGAGAGAAGGAUGAACGACCGCGCGCACGACCUUGCGUGCGACAAGAAGUGGGCGGACCGCGACAGGGUGCUGGACCCGAAGCCGGAGGGCGUGCCGCUGCGCUGCGUCCCGCUGGACGAGGACGCGGAGUUCGUGGCGCUGGAGGACGAGUGGCGCGGCCUGCUGCAGGACCCACAGCGCAGCAGCAUGCCGCUGAAGGACCUGGAGAGGAGGAUGAACGACCGCGCGCACGACCUUGCGUGCGACAAGAAGUGGGCGGGUCGCGACAGGGUGCUGGACCCGAAGCCGGAGGGCGUGCCGCUGCGCUGCGUCCCGCUGGACGAGGACGCGGAGUUCGUGGCGCUGGAGGACGAGUGGCGCGGCCUGCUGCAGGACCCACAGCAGCAGCAUGCCGCUGAAGGACCUGGAGAGGAGGAUGAACGACCGCGCGCACGACCUUGCGUGCGACAAGAAGUGGGCGGACCGCGACAGGGUGCUGGACCGAAGCCGGAGGGCGUGCCGCUGCGCUGCGUCCCGCUGGACGAGGACGCGGAGUUCGUGGCGCUGGAGGACGAGUGGCGCGGCCUGCUGCAGGACCCACAGCGCAACAGCAUGCCGCUGAAGGACCUGGAGAGGAGGAUGAACGACCGCGCGCACGACUUGCGUGCGACAAGAAGUGGGCGGACCGCGACAGGGUGCUGGACCGAAGCGGAGGGCGUGCCGCUGCGCUGCGUCCCGCUGGACGAGGACGCGGAGUUCGUGGCGCUGGAGGACGAGUGGCGCGGCCUGCUGCAGGACCCACAGCGCAACAGCAUGCCGCUGAAGGACCUGGAGAGAGGAUGAACGACCGCGCGCACGACCUUGCGUGCGACAAGAAGUGGGCGGACCGCGACAGGGUGCUGGACCCGAAGCCGGAGGGCGUGCCGCUGCGCUGCGUCCCGCUGGACGAGGACGCGGAGUUCGUGGCGCUGGAGGACGAGUGGCGCGGCCUGCUGCAGGACCCACAGCGCAACAGCAUGCCGCUGAAGGACCUGGAGAGGAGGAUGAACGACCGCGCGCACGA
Molecule: unclassified non-coding RNA, 13759 nt
Filed under: Leishmania donovani
Lineage: Eukaryota; Euglenozoa; Kinetoplastea; Trypanosomatida; Trypanosomatidae
Description: gene:LdHU3.27.0600(CDS-product:calpain-like_cyste ine_peptidase_putative)
Source: RNAcentral